AGUCGAACGCUAUUUAUAGAGUGGCGCACGGGUGAGUAACGCGUGGGAACCUGCCUUUUUCUGCGGGAUAACGGUUGGAAACGACCGCUAAUACCGCAUACGCCCUACGGGGGAAAGGUCCGCCGGAGAAAGAGGGGCCCGCGUCUGAUUAGCUAGUUGGUGGGGUAACGGCCUACCAAGGCGACGAUCAGUAGCUGGUCUGAGAGGAUGAUCAGCCACACUGGGACUGAGACACGGCCCAGACUCCUACGGGAG
Molecule: ribosomal RNA, 255 nt
Filed under: uncultured Alphaproteobacteria bacterium
Lineage: Bacteria; Pseudomonadati; Pseudomonadota; Alphaproteobacteria
Description: partial 16S ribosomal RNA
Rfam family: Bacterial small subunit ribosomal RNA
Source: RNAcentral